Eleginops maclovinus (Patagonian blennie) is the source of this 10449-nucleotide long non-coding RNA. RefSeq lists it as uncharacterized. The record is from RefSeq and is a predicted model, not a curated record. NCBI's taxonomy places the organism in Eukaryota, Metazoa, Chordata, Actinopteri, Perciformes, Eleginopidae. The transcript is spliced from 2 exons.
UUUCUUAUCGAACUUGAAAGACUUAUGAUAAGAGAAACAUAUUAACAAUCGUAGCUUAUGAUUUCUUUUUUAUUUAUUUGCUUCUCUUUUCACAGAGAACUGUUCUGAAAGCUGUGCGCUUAUCAGAUAUAUGCAAAAAAGAAAAAGCAGUAACUGUGAACUAGUGCUAAGACAUGAAAAAAAAAACACAACAAAUCCAGCUUCUUCCAUCAUUGUCUCACCCUUCUACUGCAAGAGAGAGGAGAGACCUCCCAAGAUACCUCCUCACCCAAUCGUCCCCGUCCAUCGUCUCAUGUCACCUUUCAUUUCUUUCUGUCCUGUUCAAUUCUGCACUUGUGUUUAAACUACAGUGAGAUCAAAAGAAGGAUACCUCUGCAAUGUGAGAAUGCAUUGAUAACAGGCUCCCACAAGGGGGACCAGGGCCAGAUAAACAAUGCCAAGGGGCCUCGGGCAAACCCUUACUUCCCCAUUUGCAAUGUUAGGUGAUUAAAACGUAAUGGCAUUCAAAUGUUUUAAGAGUACUCACUAAGUAAGCAUAAUGCAUUGUUGGUUUGAAUAUAACGCAACCGUGAUUAAACAUUUGUUAAAGACUCAAAACCAGACAGACAUUUUCCUUUGUAAACCAGAAAUGCUUCCAGAAAAGCUGAAUUUAUGAAUAUUAAUAUCUAAAUAAAAAAGUGGCUUGUUUAUCAGUCCAGUAUCAUGACAGCCAGAGUCGUCGUUAACUCUUGGCUGCUUGACGGAAGAUUUGGUCCCCAGCUAGGGUCAGGGUUAUGGUUGUGACGUCAAAACCUUAAGGUCACAAACAAAACAUAAUGCACAACUCUUUACACCUACAAUAUUCUUGCCAUUCAAAAAGAAAAUGGUACAUGGCCCUAAUUACCUGUGACUUGUGAUGAAAAUCAAAUAUCUUAUUUUAUUUAUAUUAUUAUAGGUGCAUUCAUGUUGAACGUUUGCUCAAAAGUUAAACCCAGUGCCAGAGGAAGUAGCAUCAACUUUCUGUAGCAAGAUGGGAAUCAUGGGUCUGGAGGUUGAACAUAUGUAGCAUCAGACUUUCAAGCUGAAUGCAAGAGCGGAUAUUCCAUCACAGGUCUCCUGCAAUUGAUAUUCAAGUUUCUGUUUCUUAAUGUUCUUGUCGGGUCCAUGGUUUAAUUGUCCUUUCCCAAUGAGAAACCACACUGCAGAGGCACCCUUCCAAACUCAUUCAUGGUUUUUUUUCUUUCUUCCGCCCCUUGUUGCCUAUGUUUCUCUCCGUUUCAUUCAUUCACAACUCAGGUAUCUCUUUCUCUCUCUCCCUCCGUCCCCCUAUGUUCCUUUUCACCCAUGUUUCCUCAAAGAUGUAUUGUAUGUCUGAAAAAGGGAGAGAUUUCUGUGAACGCCAUGUGCUGUGUUUUGUGGCUCUUCCUCGCCUCUUUUAAAAAAUGUUGUUUUGCUUUCCAUGUCCAACUGUGCUUCCUGUCUUCUCCUUGUGGCGUCCCUCGUCUUUCCAGCCUCUCAAUUAACCAUGUCCCCCUUUCUGUGAAACUUAAUCCCCCAACCUACCAUAGAGCCACCUUUAGUCUUUCACAGCAAAACCAAAAAAAGGAAUUAAAUGAAUUGGUGAAGCAAUUAAAUGGUUUGGUGAAACACUGGACGUCACCAAGGAGGAAGAUAGGAGCGGACAUUUAAAUGAAUGAAAAAAAGACUGAGGGGUUAUAUUGUAGGUUGUGAGGAGGGGAAAACUGUGCAAUGAAAUGAUGUGUUCUGAGUGGAUUGUCAGCCGAGCAGCUUCAGAGGGAGGAGAUGGAGGAGGAAAAGUUUGGGGAAGACAGAAAAGUGUGGUGAUGAUGAGGAGGCAAAAAAGAAGCAAAAUCUCUUCCCCAUUGCUGAGUUUCUAAACCCCGUUUCACCACAAGAAGAGGAUAACAAUAAACUUUGAAACCGCUGCUCCUCCAUCUCCCCUAAACGGAUUCACUGUAGAAAACGGGAAGGAGAUAGAGAGAAAGAGAAGAAAAAAAGAUGCGUGAUAGAAACUGACACUGACCAGAACAUUUUCAUCUGUGUGACACAUUCAUAUGCAACCUGGUUGAUGAUCCUAAUGGAGAAAAUGGUCACGAUCCUACAAAAGCUGUUCUGACCUCUUUUGAACAGAGCAAACCGCACCAUGGGGGCUCCCAGCGUAGCGUCCAGAGGGCCCUUGAGAGACUUGGAUUUGGAACAAAGAUGCCCUCUGUUUUAGUUGUGUUGUUGCUUUACUAUUUUUAUUUCAUUCAGCUGUUGAUAUCCAGUGGAUGUUCCAUUAUUUUGGCACUCAAAGCACUAUGCAAAGUCAGAAGUGGUCCAUCGUGAUGUCCAAUGACUCAGGCAGAGUCUGAGCUACAGGACCUCUAACAGCAGGCGAAAAUGUACUCAUACAUAUCAGAAAACAUCAGCCAUAUCACAUGUACAUUUGACAUGAUCCUGUAUUUGAUAUUAUCUGAAUCUUCCGGGAGACAUCUUGGGUUUAAUACUGAGAUCUCAGCAAAUGUCAAAAAACCAGUAUUCACCUUGUGAUGGAAAUAACCCAAAGACAGACCAACUGGGGGUGAACUAAAGCCCUCAGAGACAGGAAACUGGCCGUUACAUCAGCUCAAGAAAAAGUCACUGAAAAGGAAAAUGUGAUUGACCCUCUUUCUCUCUCUCUUGUUCCCUUCGAGUGUUUACGGUGUCUUGAAUGCCCCCCCACCCCCCUCUCCUCCCUGCAUCUCAGCGUCGCUGCUCCUCUUUAGCAAAAUGCAUGGCAUGAAUGAAACCAAUUUAAACCCGAAGAAAGACAGUCAACGACACAAUGGAUGGAUUUUAAAAAAUGGGGGGAGAGAGAACGGAAGGAGUCCAUGAGAGAGAACAUAGAUUUAUUUUUUGCCACACAGCAAUGUCAAUGCAACGUCAUCCAAGCUACUCUUUAACCCCCUAAACUGGCUGCUAAUACGUGCAUCUCCUGCAGCAAACUGCCUUCUCAGAAGGCAUGACGGAUGAGGAGGAGCUCCCUUCCCCUCCGAGGGAAAGAGGGAGGGGGGAAGGAGAUUCUGCAGACCAUACACUCUAUACCUCUGGGGAUGUGGGGUGAGAAGAUAGAGGUUUUUCAGAAAAAAAGCAGGUAUCCUGCAGCAGCGGGAGAACAUCUUUGAGAAACUAUCAUAGGGACAAAAAAAUGGCAAAUUAGAAAUGCAUUUUUAUGACAUUGUUUACCAGCAUGAAUAUUCUGCAUGACUUCUGCAAGCCAUUCUGAUCUCCCCCAUGAAUAACAGGGCUAGAAAUUGAAUUUAAACAUGAACAUUUAUCAGAAGAUUAUGUUAUAUGAAACAAAUUUAUAAAAAAUGUAGGAUUAUGUUUAAAAAAAAUGUUCUUUUUAAUUAUAAAACACAAAUAAUUAAGAAAAAAAGGGUUGCAACAUCCAACCUGUUUGGUUUUCUCUGAGAAAUCUUAGGAGCCCCCCACCCCCAACCCCACCUCUCUAAAAUCCAAGAAGACUCCUCCCAACUUCUGCAAGUAUUUAUUCUGCUACUACACGUUCGUCUACUACUACUUCAACUUCUCACCUGACUGCUACUCUGCUUCUUCUUCCUCCUCCUCCUCCUCCUUUUCUUCUUCUCUUUCUUCUUCCUCUUGUAGCCUUUAACCAGAACCCUUAUACGUAUCUCUCUCCAAUGGCAGCUGUGUGUGUUUGUGUCACAAUGUGGACCCAAAACUUUCAAAAUUAUGUUGAACUGAACUGUGCUGUCCACUCAGAGAUGUCAUUGAUUCCAUGUAUCUGAAUUGAAAAUGUAUGUUUUCCCUUUCUUCUGAACAUUUUUUCCCCCUUGAUAUCCAAGGCAAAAUGUCCUCCGUAGUCUGGGGUCAAGGACAAGUCAGGUACCGGUAGAAAUUGCUACCUAAACAAUGAAACAGGCAAUUUACAAGAUGGCUGUCUCUUCAUCCAGGGUUGUUUUUAGUACUGUAAGAGAUUCAUUUCCGAGGAUGAUAUUGGUUAUUUUCCCAACAGAGCAAUAGCUUUUUGUCAUUUCCUUUGAGAAUCCUUUAAGUGUUAUCAGUGUUGGUCAAAUCGAUUCCUGUUGCAUGGGAUUGGAGUUAGCAUUAGCGUGAAAAAUAAUUAUGUUCAGGUUAAAAUUCUAAAGGUGUUAUGUACGUAACACUAAAGUUUGAUCAAACACUGGGCUGUUUCCAGAAAAAUCCUCAGAAAAAUCUGACCAAAUAGAAGGAAAUUUGGUUCAGUAGAUUCUAAGGAUUCAUGGAACAACUCAUCUCAAAACAAAAAGAAACAAACUGAAGGAUGUCCAUAAAUGUUUACCCCAGUAGCUUCUUUAUGAUGUAGCUUUAUCAAAUCUGCCCACAAUUCCACAAGGAAUUAACUUGUGUAUUAUAGGACAUUGACCAUUCAAUAACCUUGUACUUGAAUUAGCUGGAAUGUAGCCGCAGUAUUGCUAAGUUAAAUCUCCAAUAUUGUUUCCAAAACGUUUUCAUAUCUUCUAUGGCCACUCGAAAAUAAUCACUUCUUUCUGAUGUUGCUUCCAAAUGUAGCCUUACUUAAAGAGUAUUUAAUGAACUAACUUGAUAAUACCAACCUUUCCGAUGAGCUCAAUUGGGACUAUCUGCAUCAAACAAGCUUUGAAAUCAAUGCGACUUAAUCCCUGCAGUCAUAGUCCUAUCUAUGAGGUGCUUUGUGUAAAGACUCCAAUAAAAGCACCUAACCCUAAAUCUGAUCCUUUAAACUUUAAACUCAAGUCUGCCCCAGUAAUCUUCAAGUAAAACCUUUUUCCAUAACAAACUGUUUCAGAGCAUAGUCCUAAUUGCUGAAAUUAUUCAGUAGCUUUAAUAGUUCUGAAAAUGUGUGCCCAGAUAAAGCCUGCUGUAGCGUACGCCUGUAAACAGAGGGAGGGAAAACUCGAGGGGGAACAUUUAGAGUGGAGGCUUUGGCUUUUCAGUUUAUUUUUCUUGAAAGUGACCCGAUUUGAAAGAAUUUAGUAACGAUUCCAAAUAAAAUCAAAAAAAUACUGUGGUCAAAGACCUUCAACAGUGCUCAAACACAAAAUAUGUUGGGUCUAUCCCCUGCUAAUGCAACGUGGUUAAAUCAUUAAGGAGCAGAUAAUGUGCAAAUGAACAGUGUCCACCUAAAACCAGUCCCAGCACCAGUUGGUAGUUGUUUCCCUGGGGAGGGAGGCAGCCAUCUUGGAUCAAUGUGUUGAAACAGGGUUAGUCAAGUAACCCUAUCACCAGAAACAGUUCAAGUAAUGAUGUUCUGCUGGGCUGUUAGAAAACCACAGAGAGAUUUUGAUUUUGAAAAAGAGGUAAAUGAACAGAAAGGUAAAAAUAUUUCUUCUGAAAGGUAGCAGGUACUAGAAAAUCAUGUUUCACAAAAAAAGCUGUAGAUUGUGCUGGUAAUUCUUAUUUGUCUUUUAUUUAUGACAUGUCUUUACCAUGCUUUUCAUGUGAGGGUUAAUGUUCAUUUUUGAUGCUGUAUCAGUUAUUUUAAUUGCUCUGUAUUCAUUUGUAUUUGGUUAUAUUAGGACAAUGUGUGCCCACCACUUGGUGAAGUAUUCUGAAUGGGGAUAGGGACUCGCUAGGCAAGAACCUCAGUUCCUUGACUAAUGCCAAGAAAGUGACUAAUACCACUACCUUGGUAUAAAGGAAAUAAUAACAUUUUAUUUUUCGAAAGUUAAUCAGAUGACUACAAACAGACAUAAAACGACCACAACGACUCAAGAUGACUACCAGAAAAGACUACAAAGGCAUGCAAAAUGACCUUAGAGAAGUGCAGAACGACUACAACAAGAUACACAAUGACCAAACAGACACUCACAGACACUGGUGUCUCAUUAGCUAUCCAUUAGUGUAGGUUUGUGGCUGAUAUACAGUCGGGCUAUCACAAAUAUUUAAGCAAAAUAUUCCCAUUUAUAGCUUGUACACCAUUUAAAAGAAAUCUCUGCUAACAAAGGACAAAAAAACUAACAUUUAUGUAAAAAACAGCUAUUCGCUGACAAACCUGCACUUUCCUGUUGUCACUGCUUUUGCCAAACUCACCAGCCAGAGAAGAUCAUCAGCUGUAUUUCACGCUUUCAAUAAGGGCUAUCAAGCUAAAAAAAAAAAAAAAGUAUACCCUUUGGAUUUCUCUAAUGGACCCUCACAAAUUGAGGUCAUAUGGACCGUCCUAAUGUCUAUAUGAUGGAAUUUAAGACCAAUAUUCUUUGGAUUUACAUCAUUUCUUGACCUGGGCAAUCUCUACGGGAUGUGUCUGGUCUGCUACUCAGUUUCAAUAAGAUAGAUAUUAGUUCAGAUGAGCAGUUUAAUAUGGUCAUUUUUUUAAGUACAGCUGAAAAAGACCUGCAGGUUUCAUGAACUGCAGAUUUUGAGAGUCCUAGGUACUAACACCUCUUACGAUCAGAGUCGGCAACUGUUCCGAAAAAUGGAUUCAGCCAAGAUGUGAUUGCUCAGUCGAAAGACUAAAUGGUUUUAACUCUUCUGAGUCAGGCUGCAGUCCAUCCAGUAUUUGAUAUUUCAUUGUGUCUAAAGUCAUGCAUUUCUGAAAAUCGAAACUAUUUUGAAGAUUAAAAAGGAUUUUAAACUUCAACCGAUAACUUCAAGGGCCAUGAUACCGUAUCUUAAGUGUUGUUUGCAUUAUUUGGGACCAAAAAGGUCACUCUUUGGUAUUGAUAAUCUUCAGUCAUACACACAAUUCUCUGUAUCAUUCUGGUGGAGUCUUACAAAUAACAGGGUGCCAAAAAUCAAAUAGAAAACAGGGCCUAUCUCAGGAAUACACUGUAUAAAAAAUCUGAGAGGUGGAAUAUUGAGAUUUUAUGAUCCUGCAGUAUGUAUUUUCAGGAAAGUUUCAAAUAUAUUAAUAGUUCUGAGUGAACAUGAUGCUCAUAUCAAUGGCUGCUGAUUUCGCUUCUUGAAGCCUGGAAGUAGAUUUUUCUAUCCUUUUGGUCAAAAUUAUGUCCUAAUGUCCUUCCACACAGCACUAGAUCUCAUUGCUUCCAGGGUGUUCUUCUUUUAUAUGUGGCACUGUAUGUGAAAAUAAUUGGUUCUGAUAUCACUUGUCUUCCUAAAGGUAAAAAGUACAGCUUUAGAAAUGUAAAAAAAUAUAUAUCUUACUAAGAACUGUACUGUAGCUAUACCAACUUCUCUCAGUGUCAUUGAUUUUUAUUGGUUCAUAUUGCUACGAGCAUUUUUUUAAUUUGUUAAAACUGUUGUUUUUGGUUUACAUAUCAUAUAUUUUGUAUUUUGUAACACAUGCAAUUAUAAUGAAUUAUGAUCAUGAAGAUGAUGACAAUGGAUUGACAAAUGCUUUUGUAUUUAAGCAUGCAGUGAACAUAAAGAUAGCCUAUGCACGCACCAGUUGGGCUAAAGGCUUCAUGUCAUUGGUCUGUUGGAGAACAUGUGUCUCUGGUGGGGAUGGGGGGCGGUAAAUAUGACCAUCGUACAUAUUUGAAAAAGAAGACCUGGUUUCAAAGGGACUGAUACCUUUGAUCUUAGCCCUAGAUAUUAAACUUAACAAACAAUGUUAGUAGACGCUACUGCUAAUUAGAAUUGCCCAUUUACUUACUUUAGGGUUUAAAAAAAAAAAAAAAGGGAAGGUUACUAAAUGUAAUGUAGCAUUAGAAGGCACUCUCAUUGAUCGUAAAAAUGUGGGUCUUGUUCGAUACAGAAAAAGACUACAUGGUGUGCAUGGGUCCAUAACCAAAAACACUGUAGUGUACCAUUUCUGUAAUGCAACCUUCAUAGUAUUAGCCAUAAGACUCUUUUCAAAAUUGGUGCAAUACGAGUGGUAAUGAAGAUUGAUUCUGAAAUAAAAUCAUUGGUUGGGAUCUCACAGAAACCUUGAUGGCCCAACUACUAAUAUAAUACAAGUACAGCAAUUGCAAAAUGGUUUAUUUACAUUAAAGGUGGAAAUAACUUGAAUCCUGAGGUGCGCAACACAAAUUCUUCAACGGUUCUUUGGACAUGGAUAAAGCCCUGCAUCACAAUAGGAUCCAACCCUCUCCUUCCAUACAUAUCAGAUGGCAUACUGCCCGAGAAUCAAAACUAAUGAAGUCCUAAUAUAGUCCUUUAGGGCUUUAGCAGAAGAUAAACAAAUGAUGACUGCAAAAUUCUGGAAAAACAAACAGCAACAUUGAUUAUUCCACUGCAGGGUAGUGGGGACAGAGCAAUAAUGGUACACGCUAUUUUUUAGGGGUUUGGUUGUGUGGUUGGUUGAUGUGUGUAUGAGUGUGUCUGGAUUGUGUGUGUUUUGUGCAAACUGAGCUAAGCCACACUCCUGUGAGAAGACUGACAGCUGAGCUAACCAAUAGUGCAACUUUACUUGAAACUCAAACGAUGCCCUAACAUAUCAGGACAAGAUGCAGAGGAGCGGCUUGCCCACUGUCAACCCCCUCCAUAUUACUUUAAUGCUGGUUAGAGUUAAUAUUAGUAUACUGUAUGUAUUUGAAGAAGCCACAAGCAGUUUGGUGAUGUCACAGACUAUGUUUUUUUCUCAGACAGCAGAAGAAAAACACCUGAUGUGGAUCAAUCAUUGGGGUUUGGUCAGAGGUGAAAUGUGAAAAAGUUUGAACGCAAACAGAGCUAUUGUUUACUCCCCUUUACCAUUUAUAGCUUAGCAAACACAGCUAAACUGAAGGUGACAUGUAAAAUAUAUGUAUUAUUCAUUAAAACUUUGCAUUGCAUAAUUUAGAAAAACUAGCUAGUUUAUCCAGACAGUUAAGGCCAGUGGAGCUUGGGAUAAACUAGGUCACCUAUACCUAAAAUUAGCAUCUUAGCUAGCUGAUCAUAGACUAGCCUAUCAUUUAAGCAAAAUUAACUAGCCUAAAGUCCUAAAAAAACGUCUCAAAAACUGUAGAAAAAGCUAACAAGUUGACGUUAAGUCAAAUUAACCAAGGCUAGCUGACUAACAUUGCCUGAAUGAAUUGGUUAGCUAGCCUGAAAUUAUAAACCCGUCUUGCUAAUAUGCUAAUAAGUGGACUUCCUUUUAGGUUUACCGCCUAUGGUCUGGAUAAACUAGCUAGCCAGCCUAAGCAUUGUAUGAGGGAGUUGAAGAGUAUUUUGUAAAAACACUAUUUCAAGAUGAAGAGUGAACUUUCACGCUAAAGCUGGAUGAUGUUGUGUUUCAGUUUGAAGCUAACAGGGCAGGCGCUAAACCUCCAUACUGUUUCUUGCAGCACCUCUAAUUCUCACUUUGCUGCUCCUCACCUCUGUCUCUGUCUCUGUCUCCGUCUCUGUUUCUGUCUCUCUCUCUCUCUGUCUCUCUGUGUCUCUCUCUCUCUCUCUCUCUCUCUCUCUCUCUCUCUCUGUCCCUUCCUCCUCUUCCUCCUUCCCUCCUCGUCUGUGGUUAUUUUGAGGAAGAAGCUUCGUUUUGCAUCCCUUGUUCUUGUGUUUUUCUAUUCUAUUUUUUGAAAAUGAAUUCUAAAUGCAUGCAUGGGAAACUUCAAAAUGAUGACUUAAACUUAAAUUGCGAAUGGCUAUGUGAAGGGAAGCCUCUCCUCAGUCCUCAAAAAAAAAAAAGUCUUGUCUUCCGCCUCUUCCUUUCUCCGUCAGGAAGACACAGUUAGGGACAUAAACUAAUUAUAUUAUUGAUAAUUCAUAUUACAUUUCUGGCUUCUUUUCAUGCAGGCAUGGACAUUAUUCACUAGUGUAGCCACUCUUCACAGAGCAGACUGUGUUGGGUCACUUUCUGGAGGCUCAGUUUCAUGAGUCCAGUCAUAAUUUCCUGGAAGCUUCUAAAGACCAAUGUUGUGGUUUUAGUGCUUUUCGGGGAAAUUCAUAAUCUAUUUAUUUUUUCCCGUGUCACCAUUUAAGAACAAAGCCUUAUUCUUGUGUCAUCUUUCACUUCCCUUUUGAAAGUGUCGGCAGUUUAUAGCAUUGUCGACCGAUUGAUUUAUUGAUUACUCAGUUGAUCAAUUGAUUUGUCCCACAACAGGGAUAUCGGAAUGUGUCCACUGGAAAGAUGCAGAGGAAACAAAGGAUGACCGAGACAGGAGAGAGAGAGGCUUCCCUCCAAUAUUGAAUGGGGUUUAUGCUAUAAAGACUGAUGUUGGAUAUCAUUUUAUUGUCACUACACUGGAGAGAGAAAAAUAUAAUAAAAAAGAAUCAAGAACUGUACAAAAUAUAUUUAAAUGGAAUGUUUAUUAUUUACCUUUUCUAUUUUUGAAACAUGUAAAGAACAAAAAAGGUGAAACUGUAAUAAUUCAACAGCAUUUGUGAAAAAGAGACUUAUAAAAAAAAAACAGUUCUGUUGUUAAAGUGUAUGAAGGUUUGACUGUGAAUGCCGAUUUACCCGAGCAAUUCUUCUCCUUAACUGAUACCAUAAAUGAAAAACCAGUUGAAUAAUAAGUCUUUUAAAAAAAAAAACAUAGAACUACUGGGGAAAAGGAAACAAAUUCAGUUUAAAGAGAAAACAUAGAAAACUUAAUAAAAACAUUAAAAGCUUAUGCCAAAACUUUC